This 490-nucleotide ribosomal RNA is filed under the name uncultured bacterium. Its description in RNAcentral is "partial 16S ribosomal RNA". It matches the Rfam family "Bacterial small subunit ribosomal RNA", at positions 29 to 507 of the family's 1533-position model. The record is from RNAcentral.
AGUGAACGCUGGCGGCAGGCCUAACACAUGCAAGUCGAACGGCAGCACAAGAGAGCUUGCUCUCUGGGUGGCGAGUGGCGGACGGGUGAGGAAUGCAUCGGAAUCUGCCCAUUUGUGGGGGAUAACCUCGGGAAACCGGGACUAAUACCGCAUACGACCUACGGGUGAAAGCAGGGGAUCAUCGGACCUUGCGCAGAUGGAUGAGCCGAUGCCGGAUUAGCUAGUUGGAGGGGUAAAGGCCCACCAAGGCGACGAUCCGUAGCUGGUCUGAGAGGAUGAUCAGCCACACUGGGACUGAGACACGGCCCAGACUCCUACGGGAGGCAGCAGUGGGGAAUAUUGGACAAUGGGCGCAAGCCUGAUCCAGCCAUGCCGCGUGUGUGAAGAAGGCCUUCGGGUUGUAAAGCACUUUUGUUGGGAAAGAAAAGCAGCCGGUUAAUACCCGGUUGUCAUGACGGUACCCAAAGAAUAAGCACCGGCUAACUUCGUG